This 635-nucleotide long non-coding RNA is filed under the name Pan troglodytes (chimpanzee). RNAcentral describes it as "lincRNA". The record is from RNAcentral. Lineage: Eukaryota; Metazoa; Chordata; Mammalia; Primates; Hominidae.
AGUUCUGGAGGCUGGAAGUCCAAGAUCAAGGUGCUAUCAGGGUUGGUUUCGGCUGUGGCCUCUCUUCCUGGCUUGUAGACAGCUAUCUUCUCGCAGUGUCCUCACGUGGCCUCUUUGUGUGAAGUUAAAAAUGAACAGAUCAACCUUUUAUUCUUCUCUGAAAAAUAUAGUGAAAUUAGUAAUCAAGAAUGAUUUUCUGAAAUGAAAACAUCCAAACAGCACACUGUAAAGACAUUCAGGGGAAAAUAAAAUAGGUUUUGGCAAACAUCUAAUGACACAGAGCCACCAUUGCCAAUUUCACCACUGUCUUUCACCAAGUUGAUUCAUUUUGAACUGGCUCCAGCAAUCUACUCAGAGUUGACCUCAGAGCAAAAAAUUGAAGUGGGAAGCUGCUAAAGAAUCUGCUUGACUAAAACAAGGCAAUAAGCAAAAGGAAGUCAUAGCAUCCAGAAAAUGGGAUCCAUCAUGCACACAAAGAAAAGGCGAAGAGAAUUCCCAGGAUGUUCAGAACCCACCAAAAACAAGAGUCUGUUCCAGAUCAGAAGAGAGGGAAACACUCUGAAAAAGUCCCUCAAAGACAAAAUUAAACAGAGUUUAAAUGAUGUGCUUGACCACAAAAAAAGGCUUCUUGCUCU